This 301-nucleotide ribosomal RNA is filed under the name uncultured bacterium. RNAcentral describes it as "partial 16S ribosomal RNA". It matches the Rfam family "Bacterial small subunit ribosomal RNA", at positions 509 to 807 of the family's 1533-position model. The record is from RNAcentral.
CAGUCGCCACGGUAAUACAGAGGGUGCAAGCGUUAAUCGGAAUUACUGGGCGUAAAGCGCGCGUAGGUGGUUUGUUAAGUUGGAUGUGAAAGCCCCGGGCUCAACCUGGGAACUGCAUCCAAAACUGGCAAGCUAGAGUACGGUAGAGGGUGGUGGAAUUUCCUGUGUAGCGGUGAAAUGCGUAGAUAUAGGAAGGAACACCAGUGGCGAAGGCGACCACCUGGACUGAUACUGACACUGAGGUGCGAAAGCGUGGGGAGCAAACAGGAUUAGAUACCCCGGUAGUCCCUGUCUCUUAUAC